This is an RNA transcript of Mustela erminea (ermine), 3054 nucleotides long. It is a transcript of the gene named translation initiation factor IF-2-like, with no coding region annotated. The transcript is spliced from 2 exons. The record is from RefSeq and is a predicted model, not a curated record. Lineage: Eukaryota; Metazoa; Chordata; Mammalia; Carnivora; Mustelidae.
CGGUCAGAGAGGUGGCAGGUGGCCGGGUUAGAUCCCAGGGGAAUCCAACGCCAGGAUGAGACAUUCCAAUUUGAGCAGCUGAACUUGGCUAUGGGACAGCGAGCCUAGGGAUUUGGGGACCUGCCCAGGCAAGCCCAGCCUCCAGGGUCCUGAGAUGACCCCCUGUGAACUCACAUGGCCCGGCUGCAGAAGUUCACUAGCAACUGCCGGUCAGUCCCCUGACCUGCCUGGCACUUAGUAGGGGCUCUUCAGAUAUCUGUCCCAUGAAUGAGCCAGGGAGGAAAUGGAGAUGCCCUGCCCACUCACCUCCUGCCAGUGGCCGCCCUUGCUAAACACAAACUAGGCCACGGGCCUGACCCAGUUUCGCGGCGCCGCGCGCCAAGCCCGGGGAGGAGCCCGAUGCGCGGGGAGCGGGACAGCCGCGUGACUCGGACGGCCGCCGCCGCCGCCCCGCGCCCGGGAUCCGCAGUCGCACCGGAUCCGAGGCCGUUUCUGACAUUUGCCUGCGCCGUGACUCAUCUCCGCGCGGAGAAGAAAGGGGCCUUUGUGGGCUCCCCGCGCGGGCCUUGGCCGGCCGUGUCCUGGGCAGCACUGCCCCCCGGUGGCCGGGAGCGCGGUGUAGGGCGCGGGAGGCGGCCCUGGGGGCGCGUGCCCGACCCCACCCCCGGUGCUGGCCCGCGUCCUGGGGCCCGAGUCCGUCCGGGGAAAGCGGGAAGAGCACUAUCUCCCCGAGGCCCGGGUCUUCUGAGGGAAGCCUCCACAAGGGAGGGAAUGGUUUCUCCCGCCCCUGGAAACGGUGAGCUCGGGCACCCCGGAUGCCGGCUCCCUGGAGGCCUGGCCCAGAUUGGGGGAAGGCCACGGGACAUUGCCCCCCGCACCCGCACCUCCGGAAACAGGGAACGCCUUCUCUGCCGAAAGCCUGGGCUCUGUUCCUCUUCCCCGGGCUGCACAACCACGUGACUGCCGCAUUUUAAAAAUAGAUGCAAACAGCUACCCUUCCCCUUUUGUAGUGGAUGCUGCCAUGCCUGUUUGCCCUGGGCCACCUGGAGUCAACUGCUGAUGAUGACAGUACAUUAUGAAGGUGACUUCUCGCAUCUCUGCCUUGGGAUAUUCCUUGGAUGCAAAGCCCACACCUGGCGGGGGCGGGGGGUGCAGCUCCAAAGUGCCAAGGAUGUGCCGAUACCACAGGUGAGACCUUCAACCAAGGAGGGCUGUUCUCACUCCUCUGCUAAAUCCCAACGUGUGUGUGCCGUCUGUCCCUGGAGGGGAUGAACCCCAGAACUCACUCUGCUUAUUACCAUCGACAUCAAUGGCUCCCCUCCCUUCCCUGUCUCACUUCCCUCCCUCACGGAGGGUUGGAUUUCUGACUCCUCCCUUCCUUUUCUUGCUGUUUUAAUCUUGGUGAAUUAUUUAAACCCUGUGCGUUAGAGACCUCGCUUAUAACCUGCUGAUCAUAGCACCUGCCGCUGUUAGGACAGAGUGAGCUGAUGCACGUGAGUGUUUAGAACAGUGUCUGGCACGUAGUAGGUGCUCAGAAAUGUCAAUCAUGUUUCAUAAAUAGCAGGGGCACUGGCCAUGGGAAGCAGAACACAUAUGGGUCCAGUUUCCUCCAGUUUCCUCAUGUGAACUACAGGUUAAAAAUGCCCCUUUGAGGGGCGCCUGGAUAGCACAGUUGGUCAAGCAAGCGCCCGACUCGGGUUCGGCUCAUGUCAUGAUCUCGGGGUCCUGGGAUCAAGCCCCGAAUCAGGCUCCGUGCUCAGCGCAGAGUCUGUUUGAGAUUCUCUCUCAUCAUCUCAUUUGAAGAUUCUCUCUUCAUCCAGUGGCUGUGACCUCCACCAAGCAAGAGGGGCCAGUAUUGGGGUGCAGGUAAGACCACUUCAGAGUCCUGGGCCAUUUCCUCCUUUCUCUCUGGAGAAUGGUGUGACCUCAGGUAAGCUGUGUCCCUUGGGCCUCAGGCUCCGCAUCCUUGGAAAGAAGUGACCGGGCUUAGGGGAUCACUAAAUGUCCUACCAGCUCCAGAGUUCUAGGGAGAGGCCCUGUCCUGGGACGGACACACACACACACACACCCCAACACUCACUCGCAUACGUGCAUACGUACACACACAAAAUACACACCCAGACAUACACACAUACCAGGGAGGAAGUAACUGUGCUUAUCUGCUCUGGCCGCUUGAGUCACCUCUGGGAGCCCCAGGCUCCUGGCUCUGUUGGCCUUGAACCUCACCCCAGAGAAGAAGAAUGUGUCUGCAAAACAUUUCCAGGCAUUUUCAUGUGUGAGUGCUGUUUUCUUCUUAGGCUUCUCUCCUUUUGUCACUUGCAGAUGUCUGUGGCUGUCUUGCCAGGUCUUGGGAUCAAGCCACGUGGCCCACUUGAGGGCUGGUGAGGAGGGGUGCAUGGGCAGCCUUAUAAAACCAGCCUGGACCAUCCUUUCCAGCACCUACCAGAGUCUAACCGAUCCCAAGGAAGAAGCAAACAGCCCCAUGACGUUUUACAGAGGUCAGAGAAUGUGGCUCCAGACUCCAGAAGAAGCUAAGGCUGGAUGUCACCACAGAGCAGCUGGGGCCUGAGGACGCCGCCACACGGUAUAUGGAACCUCCCAGGAAAGGCCAGGAGGGACAGACGGUGCAUGUGCAGCCCCUCCUCUGGAUUCAGGCCUUCCAUCCACUGAGGCCUGGGAUCUUCUCCCUGUUUCCAGACACCUCCAAAACGCAAGAAAUAGAACUUUCUUUGUGUUUUGUAACGGUGCUUCAUUUUUGACUUCUAGUCCCUUUUCGCAUCAGGUUGGUGGGAAAAUAUAUAUAACCUCUUGCUGGAGUUAUGUCGUAGUUCUGAGGUCUUGAUGCAAUGCUGUGGGGUAUUAGCGUGGCGUUGUGGUCCUCAUUCAACUGUCCCCAAGUCACGUCUGAGGCUGUCCUUGCAUGGGCCACAGGGACCCCAUAGGUCCGAUGUUUCCCUGUUUGUCAUGGUCACCGUCCCGGCUUAGAUGCAUCCCCAACCCAUUCGGCCUAGGCUUCUGCUACCCCCCCCCUUAGAGCUCCUCUGGGGCCCACAG